GCUAAGCCAUAUUUAGUGUUUCUGAUUUGAUGGAAAAACCAGUUGCAAAUCAAAGCAUUAGGAUUUGGAUUUGGAAAAGAGGGGAGGGAGGAGCUCAGCUUGCCUGGCGAUGGAUGAUCUGGACGAGGCACAUCGUCGCCUUCCUGCCGCAGAAGCGGAAGCAGACGGCGCCUCCUCGCGGCUGCACAACCUCCCUGCCGUACCCACCAACUCGCCGGCGCUGCACCUGCCGUUAGGCCCUCAGCGACGAACUCCUGCCGCGACCUUCGGACCGGGGCGCCGCUCUGCGUCUCCCACCCGCGGCUGCCUCGCACUUGCCCCCCACGCCUCCGACCAGCGCUUCCCCUUCCGCCGCCUGCGGCGUUGAAGUCGCCAUCUCCAUCCAUGGCCCGGGCCUUGGGUGGCUGGAGAUCCACCGGAGGGAGAAACAAGGGGGAAAGUGGAUGGAGUUGUGUACUUGAGACUUGAGAGUGCCUCAGCACAAACUAGAACAUGUACAUCGAGAAGGAGGAGUCAUCCUGCCGUAAGC
This 529-nucleotide ribosomal RNA is filed under the name Triticum aestivum (bread wheat). RNAcentral's name for it is "partial small subunit ribosomal RNA". The record is from RNAcentral. Lineage: Eukaryota; Viridiplantae; Streptophyta; Magnoliopsida; Poales; Poaceae.